GAUGAAGAACGUAGCGAAAUGCGAUAAGUAAUGUGAAUUGCAGAAUUCAGUGAAUCAUCGAAUCUUUGAACGCACAUUGCGCCCGCCAGUAUUCUGGCGGGCAUGCCUGUCCGAGCGUCAUUUCAACCCUCAAGCCCCCGGGCUUGGUGUUGGAGAUCGGCGAGCCCCCCGGGGCGCGCCGUCUCCCAAAUACAGUGGCGGUCCCGCCGCAGCUUCCAUCGCGUAGUAGCUAACACCUCGCGACUGGAGAGCGGCGCGGCCACGCCGUAAAACACCCAACUCUUCUGAAGUUGACCUCGAAUCAGGUAGGAAUACCCGCUGAACUUAAGCAUAUCAAUAAGCGGAGGA
Molecule: unclassified non-coding RNA, 348 nt
Filed under: soil metagenome
Description: partial contains 5.8S ribosomal RNA, internal transcribed spacer 2, and large subunit ribosomal RNA
Rfam family: 5.8S ribosomal RNA (bases 1-120)
Source: RNAcentral